UGUUUGAGGUAUUGCCUUUCCCAGCUUUUCAAAAUGCAAAAAGGGGACACAUGCAGGAGCUCUGGCCCGCCACUCCUGCCCCAGCAGCGUGUUUGUCUAUAUCUUUCCUGAAAUGUGGCACCCAGAACCGGACACAAUACUCCAGCUGAGGCCUAAUCAGCCAGCGCGGAGUAGAGUGGGAGAAUUACUUCUUGUGUCUUGCUUACAACAUUCCUGCUAAUACAUCCCAGAAUGAUGUUUGCUUUUUUUGCAACAGCGUUACACUGUUAACUCCUAUUUAGCAGUAAGAGGUGCAAUGUGGAUUUGAAGGUGGCAUCGUUCGUGUGGUAAUGCUCAUUUGCAGUGCUCCUUCUCUUAAAUCCAGGGAAGGGGCUUAAGUGACCCUGGUGAGCAGUUAUGGCAGCUGCAAAUUUUUCAAGCCUCCCUCCUCCGUCCCGAAGGCUAUCUCAGAUAAGGCGUCGGAGAAAGAGGACAUGAGACAAGAUGUUCUUGGAAAUAAUGGAAUGCACCCGCAGUGAAAGAGCUCAUUUGAAUGAGUGGAAGGACACGGUAUCUAAGUACAGGAAAGAUGCCAGUGAACGUGAGGUCAUGAGGGAGGCUCGAGAUGAGAGGUGGCAGGCUGCAAUGCUGGGGCUGCUGCGUGAUCAAACAGACAUGCUCCGGCGUCUGGUGGAGCUUCAGGAACGGCAGCAGGAUAACAGAGUGCCGCUGUAGCCGCUGUAUAACCUCCCUCCCCCCUCACCAUGUUACAUAGCCUCCUCACCCAGACGUGUAAGAACGCGGUGAUGGGGAGGCUCCGUGCACCCUCCCACUCCACCCCAGUGGGCAGCCCAACCAAAAGGCUGUCAUUAUAUUGAUUUUUUUCAGUGGCCUUUUACUUCCCUCCUAUCCUCCUCCCAAACCUCAUCCG
Malaclemys terrapin pileata is the source of this 910-nucleotide long non-coding RNA. RefSeq lists it as uncharacterized. The record is from RefSeq and is a predicted model, not a curated record. NCBI's taxonomy places the organism in Eukaryota, Metazoa, Chordata, Testudines, Emydidae. The transcript has 4 exons.